Strigops habroptila (Kakapo) is the source of this 1415-nucleotide long non-coding RNA. RefSeq lists it as uncharacterized. The record is from RefSeq and is a predicted model, not a curated record. The transcript is spliced from 2 exons. Lineage: Eukaryota; Metazoa; Chordata; Aves; Psittaciformes; Psittacidae.
GGAAGGGUGAUGCAUCUGUGUGAUUGGUAACUCUCCUCCCUGCUGUUAGGUGGGCAUGAGUUGAGGUCCUUAAAGCCCUUUCUGAACUCAGGUCUCCAAAGGCAGUGGCAGCACAGACUACUCUUGUGGAUUUGCUCUGCUGAAGCAUUGCUACAGCUCUGCUCCGAGUGUUGGUGGUGACCGUGGAGUCACCUCCUCAGGUAGGAGCUGAGCGGUCUCGUUUCUGCUCAUUAGUUCUGAAAGGUUUUUCCAUCCAUAAUAAGAAAGUCAUUAGUGUGAAACUUCCACUGCCAGGUACGAUUGAUUCGGAGAUUAUAACCACUAUAAAAGGGGAUAUGCGUUGCAUAUACAAUGUGUUAAAGUCCUGGCAUGUUGCUCUGGUUGUAUGUCAUUUGUGGAGCUCACCAGAGAACGGCUCAGGCAGAUGUGUGGCUGCUCAGAGCCUGUUUUCACAGGGCAAAGGUAAAUUCGCAUCAAUAGCUGGUACAUCCUCUGUGGAAGGGCUCUAAUCCUAUCCUAAGAGAUGGACUCAAUGAUUUAACAAGUCCUCAUGCUCUCGUUGCUGUGGUGUUUUACAAAUAGGGUGCACAACCUUGAGGCCCUCCAUGCUUGCUGUUAAGUUUGGGAUCCCCUCUGCAAUGAGCUACUAAAACAUGUCCUGGUGUGUUCUAUUUCCCCUCCAUGGCUGAUGAGCCAGUGAAUCAGCCGUCCAUCCACCCAUUCAUCCAGCCAGCCACUUCUUGUAUGUAAAAGUUAUUUUAAACACACAUUUGCAGCAUUCAUCAUAUCACUCAUCAUACAAAGUGCUUUUGACAAUGCAUUAGUAGAGUUGUGCCAGGCGUGCGUCGUUCCUCUGGCCGGGAGAGCGGAUGGGGAAGUUGGGUGAGAAGAACAAGGGGUUCAGCUCAGCUCAGCACAUCCAGUCUCAGUUUUGAUUAUGUUGCCUGGGCUGUGAUGAUAUGGGGCCAACAGAACCAUUCUCUGCAAUGGAGAGAGGUGAGCAAGCAUGGAGAGGUGGGUGACCAGCAACUUGAUAUGAAUAUAAUCAUUGAAGAGGAUCAUUGGACUGGAUUGUCCAAAGAAAGAUGCAAUGGGUAGCAGAGGGAGGAAGAAGCAGACAAAUACACCACGAGCCAUUCAAAAAGUGGCUAAAAGAGGAGCAGAACCACAAAAGGUUCAAUUCACAAAGCCAGGAGAGGGCUGCAGGAAUUCCAGGUCGGUGGCCAUUCUGGCUUUAUAGACGCAAUGAAAUGUUAUGGCUGCAGCUUUCCUGAAUUUACUUUGCUCCCAACUGCACAGCCUAAAAAUGAAUUUGAAAAUUACAAAUCCCAUAAAACAUGGAUUACCUGGCUACGCCAAACCCAGAAUAAUUGAAACUAAGUUAGCAGGAUUACUCCAGAGGUGUUUGGUGCAGU